AGGAUGAACGCUAGCGGCAGGCUUAACACAUGCAAGUCGAGGGACGGUAGCAAUACCGGACCGGCAAACGGGUGCGGAACACGUACGCAACAUACCCCUAACUGGGAGAUAGCCUUCUGAAAAGGAGAUUAAUACCCCAUAGUAUGGCAGAACGGCAUCGUUUUGGCAUUAAAGAAUUUUGGUUAGGGAUUGGCGUGCGUCCCAUUAGGUAGUUGGUGUGGGUAACGGCCCACCAAGCCGACGAUGGGUAGCUGGUGUGAGAGCACGACCAGCCACACGGGCACUGAGACACGGCCCAGACUCCUACGGGAGGCAGCAGUGGGGAAUAUUGCGCAAUGGGCGAAAGCCUGACGCAGCGACGCCGCGUGGGGGAUGAAGGCCUUCGGGUUGUAAACCCUUUCAGCAGGGACGAAGCGAAGUGACGGUACCUGCAGAAGAAGCGCCGGCUAACUACGUGCCAGCAGCCGC
RNAcentral lists this ribosomal RNA (468 nucleotides) under uncultured bacterium. Its description in RNAcentral is "SSU rRNA". It matches the Rfam family "Bacterial small subunit ribosomal RNA", at positions 26 to 518 of the family's 1533-position model. The record is from RNAcentral.